This 247-nucleotide unclassified non-coding RNA is filed under the name uncultured Pleosporales. Its description in RNAcentral is "sequence contains 5.8S rRNA gene, ITS2, 28S rRNA gene". The record is from RNAcentral. Lineage: Eukaryota; Fungi; Ascomycota; Dothideomycetes; Pleosporales.
AACGCACAUUGCGCCCCUUGGUAUUCCAUGGGGCAUGCCUGUUCGAGCGUCAUUUACACCCUCAAGCACUGCUUGGUGUUGGGCGUCUGUCCCGCCUUCGCGCGUGGACUCGCCCCAAAGACAUUGGCAGCGGUCUCUGGCACCUCAACGCGCAGUACAUUGCGUUUAUUGGGGCGCCUCUGGUCGCAUCCACAAAGCUAUCACCGUCUUUGACCUCGGAUCAGGUAGGGAUACCCGCUGAACUUAA